CAAGGUAUUGGUUGCUCACUCUCCCUCAAGAGCUUCUCAUAUGUGCCCUAGCAUGCAUGCAUCCAAGCUAUAAAAGAAGAAGAAAAAACAACGCUUUCGAUCAGCUGAGUUUCGAUGCGAGAAGCUCUUGCUGGGAGAGUGGACAAGCAGUGACUUG
Molecule: microRNA precursor, 157 nt
Filed under: Manihot esculenta (cassava)
Lineage: Eukaryota; Viridiplantae; Streptophyta; Magnoliopsida; Malpighiales; Euphorbiaceae
Description: precursor microRNA miR477g
Source: RNAcentral